UUGGGGACAUCUUGGGGUCUUCAAAUGGGAGUUGAGGUCUUCAAAUGAGAGUUGGGGACAUCUUGGGGUCUUCAGAUGAGAGUUGGGGACAUCUUGGGGUCUUCAAAUGAAAGUUGGGGACGUUUUGGGGUCUUCAGGCAGAUGUUUGGGACAUCUUGGGGUCUUCAAAUGAAAGUUGGGGACAUCUUGGGGUCCUCAAAUGAGAGUUGGGGACAUCUUGGGGACAUCUUGGGGUCUUCAGAUGAAAGUUGAGAUCUUCUGAUGAGAGUUGGAGACAUCUUGGGGUCUUCAGGCAGGAGUUGGAGACAUCUUGGGGUCUUCAAAUGGGAGUCGGGGACAUCUUGGGGUCUUCAGAUGAAAGUUGGGGACGUUUUGGGGUCUUCAGGCAGAUGUUUGGGACAUCUUGGGGUCUUCAGAUGGGAGUUGGGGGCAUCUUGGGGUCCUCAAAUGAAAGUUGAG
Molecule: long non-coding RNA, 459 nt
Organism: Poecile atricapillus (Black-capped chickadee)
Lineage: Eukaryota; Metazoa; Chordata; Aves; Passeriformes; Paridae
Exons: 3
Source: RefSeq, a predicted model, not a curated record